RNAcentral lists this ribosomal RNA (490 nucleotides) under uncultured bacterium. Its description in RNAcentral is "partial 16S ribosomal RNA". It matches the Rfam family "Bacterial small subunit ribosomal RNA", at positions 28 to 507 of the family's 1533-position model. The record is from RNAcentral.
GAUGAACGCUAGCUACAGGCUUAACACAUGCAAGUCGCAGGGUAACAUGAGGAAAGCUUGCUUUCCUUGAUGACGACUGGCGCACGGGUGAGUAACGCGUAUCCAACCUUCCCAUAACUACGGGAUAACCCGUUGAAAGACGGCCUAAUACCGUAUGAUAUCGUUUGCUGACAUCAAAUAACGAUUAAAGGUUUAGCGGUUAUGGAUGGGGAUGCGUCUGAUUAGCUUGUUGGCGGGGUAACGGCCCACCAAGGCGACGAUCAGUAGGGGUUCUGAGAGGAAGGUCCCCCACAUUGGAACUGGGACACGGUCCAAACUCCUACGGGAGGGAGCAGUGAGGAAUAUUGGUCAAUGGACGAGAGCCUGAACCAGCCAAGUAGCGUGCAGGACGACGGCCCUAUGGGUUGUAAACUGCUUUUAGGUGGGGAUAAAGUGCGUGACGUGUCAUGCAUUGCAGGUACCACAUGAAUAAGGACCGGCUAAUUCCGUG